UGAAAGAGUUUUGGGUGUGAAGAUCUUCAUUCAUUGACAUAGAGAAGACCCUUGCUGAGACAUCCCUCAGUGGACAGAGCAAGGAGGAGCUGAAAAUGCUGAAAAAGUAACACUUUCCUCCUGAGCCGGAGGAAUUGCUACAUUUCUAUAAUUUUUAGGCCGGAGAAGCAGAGCUCUGCUAGGAAGCCCCCUUAAAUGGGGGCUGAGCAAAGCUCAAUUGUAGUGGCUGUCUAGGAGAGGAGCAGGACUGCUAUAUCCUUCAGGGAGACCAUCCCCCAUCACACCAGGUAUAGCCUGACUUUCCCGAACAGUCAGGAUACCCUUCCCUGCUGAAGCAGUUCCAGGUGUGACUCUCCUGAGCAGUCAGAAAAUUUCCCUUCUAGGGUGGGCUGUGUCUUUGCAGCUCCAGCCGUCAGAGCUGUACUAAACAGCUCCAUAUGUCCAGAACACCUCCAGGACAGAGCUGUGCUAAACAGCUCAAGGUGUCUGGGAUACCUCGCCCUCCAGGGUUGGGCUGCCUCUUGGCAGCUCCAGCCAUCAGAGCUGUCCUAAGCAGCUCAAGGUGUUGCUUGACUCCCUGAGUUGCAAAACUCACAUUUUGGUGCCAAAACUGGGACCAAACCCACAGAGUUACAACAAAUUUACUUACAGUUAGUACAGGUCAUCAAACUAGGGAAGGGACUGUAAGGGUAAAGAGACCUUCAUAGGGGUGGAGACAAAAGAAAGUGAUAUAAUAAUGUGACAUGAGAGCAGGAAGGCUACUGGGUAGGGACCUCAGGGAGCCAUUAGGAGGCAGACACAGGGAAGGGGAGUGGGAAGGGUGACCAUCAGUGAGGUUUAGGAGGCCCUCUCUUAAUAAAAUAGAGAGUGUGAGGUUGUUUUUCCUGGGCCCUGCUCUGAUCUUUUGAAGGAGCCUAUGAAUAAAAGUUUUGAAGCUUAAAAUUCUCUUCCUUCUCAUUCCCAGUUACCUGUCAUGGCAAAGCCACAUUCAUGUGCCUUAUGAGAUCCUAACAUUUUAUUUUAGAUGUUUAGGGUAAUGCCAUAAGAAAUUAUACAGAAAAUAAAGGCAUUAUGACCAAAAAAAAAAAAAAAAAAACAAGUGUCCUUUUUAAAAGGAGAAUGAUAAAAUGUUCAGACAAGUAAAAAAUAUCCGUCAAAGUGAAGCUGAUAGGAGCUCCUCUCUAAUAAAGUUAAACAACUCAGAAAAGGUUUACCUGGGAUCUAGCAUCGUGUGUGUGUGUGUGUGUGUGUGUGUGUGUGUGUGUGUGUGUGUGUGUUUGCGUGUGAUGGCUAGAGGGCCAACUCAGGUGUUGUUCCUCCUCAGGUAUGAUCUAUCCUGAUUUUUUGAGACAGAAUCUCUUCCUGGCCUAGAGCUUGCCAAAUAUGCUAGGCUGGCUGGCAGUGAGCCCACAGAUCCACCUGUCUCUGCCUCCCAAGUGCUGGGGUUCCAAGCCAUGGCCACAAUGCCAGGCUUUUGUAUGCGGGUUCUGGGUACAGAACUUACUUAGGUCCUCAGGCUUGCACAGUCAGCACCUUAGGGACUGAGCUGUCACCAUCCCCUAAUAUCUCAACCAAUCUUAGCCAAAUAGAUUUAUGUAGCUGACAGUCUGAUUCCUCUGUUUAAUCCUGAUCAUCUGCUUUACUUAGGUUUGCUAUUUUUAUUUUAAAUUUCUUCCUCCCCCCCCCCCCCUAUUUUGUUUGUCUGUUUUGCAACAGGGUCUCUCUAUGUAGCCCUAGUUGUCCUGGAACUCACUAGAACAUCAGGCUGACCUCAAACUCAGAGAUCCUCCUGAGUGCUAUUUUAAACUUAAGUUGAAGAAUCAGAAGCACAGAAUGAAUUCCAGCUGGGGACAGAUGGCAGUUCUCUCCAAAAGGUCUUGUCAGUGCCAGUGUUUGAAUUUCUGUAUGUGAAGUGUUCCAAUUUAGCCGACAGACACUCUGGCUGAUUACUGGGUGUCAAUUUACGCAUUUAGAAAAAGUAACCUUAGACGGUGAAACUUCAACCCAGGAUUUAUCCAACCAUUCAUGAGGAUCUCUCUUCGACGUCAUUAAAUUGUGGUCUGCAAUUUGUCGAAUUGUUAAAGCCGUCUC
Non-coding RNA from Peromyscus maniculatus bairdii (prairie deer mouse), 2091 nucleotides. Lineage: Eukaryota; Metazoa; Chordata; Mammalia; Rodentia; Cricetidae. The record is from RefSeq and is a predicted model, not a curated record.